This 489-nucleotide ribosomal RNA is filed under the name uncultured bacterium. RNAcentral describes it as "bacterial SSU rRNA". It matches the Rfam family "Bacterial small subunit ribosomal RNA", at positions 28 to 518 of the family's 1533-position model. The record is from RNAcentral.
GAUGAACGCUAGCGGCAGGCUUAACACAUGCAAGUCGAGGGGCAGCAUACCCGGCAACGGGUGAUGGCGACCGGCGUAAGGGUGAGUAACGCGUGAGCAACAUACCCGUAUCAGUGGGAUAAUACAGGGAAACUUGUUCUAAUAUCACAUAAUAUUAUUCAGAGGCAUCUUUGGAUAAUUAAAGUUCAGGCGGAUACGGAAUGGCUCGCGUGACAUUAGCUAGAUGGUAGGGUAAGCCUACCAUGGCUAUGAUGUCUAGGGGUUCUGAGAGGGACGGUCCCCACACUGGAACUGAGACACGGUCCAGACUCCUACGGGAGGCAGCAGUGAGGAAUAUUGGACAAUGGAUGAAAAUCUGAUCCAGCCAUGCCGCGUGCAGGAAGGCGGCCCUAUGGGUUGUAAACUGCUUUUAGCCGGGAAUAAACACCGUUUAUAACGGCCGAAGUACCGGCUGAAUAAGCAUCGGCUAACUCCGUGCCAGCAGCCGAC